CCUACGGGAGGCAGCAGUGGGGAAUUUUGGACAAUGGGCGAAAGCCUGAUCCAGCCAUGCCGCGUGCAGGAUGAAGGCCUUCGGGUUGUAAACUGCUUUUGUACGGAACGAAAAGGUCUUUUCUAAUAAAGAAGGCUCAUGACGGUACCGUAAGAAUAAGCACCGGCUAACUACGUGCCAGCAGCCGCGGUAAUACGUAGGGUGCAAGCGUUAAUCGGAAUUACUGGGCGUAAAGCGUGCGCAGGCGGUUAUAUAAGACAGUUGUGAAAUCCCCGGGCUCAACCUGGGAACUGCAUCUGUGACUGUAUAGCUAGAGUACGGUAGAGGGGGAUGGAAUUCCGCGUGUAGCAGUGAAAUGCGUAGAUAUGCGGAGGAACACCGAUGGCGAAGGCAAUCCCCUGGACCUGUACUGACGCUCAUGCACGAAAGCGUGGGGAGCAAACAGGAUUAGAUACCCUGGUAGUCCACGCCCUAAACGAUGUCAACUGGUUGUUGGGUCUUCACUGACUCAGUAACGAAGCUAACGCGUGAAGUUGACCGCCUGGGGAGUCGGCCGCAAGGUUGAAACUCAAAUGAAAUUGACCGGNNGAGAGNGCCGACGGACGACGACGAGGGAGGAGG
This 621-nucleotide ribosomal RNA is filed under the name uncultured bacterium. Its description in RNAcentral is "bacterial SSU rRNA". It matches the Rfam family "Bacterial small subunit ribosomal RNA", at positions 338 to 951 of the family's 1533-position model. The record is from RNAcentral.